This 516-nucleotide ribosomal RNA is filed under the name uncultured bacterium. RNAcentral's name for it is "bacterial SSU rRNA". It matches the Rfam family "Bacterial small subunit ribosomal RNA", at positions 9 to 526 of the family's 1533-position model. The record is from RNAcentral.
GAGUUUGAUCCUGGCUCAGGAUGAACGCUGGCGGCGUGCUUAACACAUGCAAGUCGAACGGGAAAUAUUUCAUUGAGACUUCGGUGGAUUUGAUCUAUUUCUAGUGGCGGACGGGUGAGUAACGCGUGGGUAACCUGCCUUAUACAGGGGGAUAACAGUCAGAAAUGGCUGCUAAUACCGCAUAAGACCACAGCACCGCAUGGUGCAGGGGUAAAAACUCCGGUGGUACAGGAUGGACCCGCGUCUGAUUAGCUGGUUGGUGAGGUAACGGCUCACCAAGGCGACGAUCAGUAGCCGGCUUGAGAGAGUGAACGGCCACAUUGGGACUGAGACACGGCCCAAACUCCUACGGGAGGCAGCAGUGGGGAAUAUUGCACAAUGGGGGAAACCCUGAUGCAGCGACGCCGCGUGAGUGAAGAAGUAUCUCGGUAUGUAAAGCUCUAUCAGCAGGGAAGAAAAUGACGGUACCUGACUAAGAAGCCCCGGCUAACUACGUGCCAGCCGCCGCGGUAAUAC